GGACUACCCGGGUAUCUAAUCCUGUUUGAUCCCCUUGCUUUCGCGCCUCAGCGUCAGGUAUAAGCUAGAAAACCGCCUUCGCCACAGGUGUUCUUCCACAUAUCUACGCAUUUCACCGCUACUUGUGGAAUUCCGUUUUCUCCGCCUACCCUCAAGAAAAAUAGUUUCAGAUGCUGUUCCGGGGUUGAGCCCCGGGAUUUCACGUCCGACUUAUUCUCCCGCCUACGCGCCCUUUACGCCCAAUAAAUCCGAUUAAUGCUUGCACCCUCCGUAUUACCGCGGCUGCUGGCAC
Molecule: ribosomal RNA, 292 nt
Filed under: uncultured bacterium
Lineage: Bacteria
Description: partial 16S ribosomal RNA
Source: RNAcentral